Molecule: ribosomal RNA, 414 nt
Filed under: uncultured soil bacterium
Lineage: Bacteria
Description: bacterial SSU rRNA
Rfam family: Bacterial small subunit ribosomal RNA
Source: RNAcentral
AGAACGAACGCUGGCGGCAGGCCUAACACAUGCAAGUCGAACGCUCCGCAAGGAGAGUGGCAGACGGGUGAGUAACGCGUGGGAAUUUCCCCCAAGGUUCGGAAUAACUGAGGGAAACUUCAGCUAAUACCGAAUGGUACCGAGAGGUUAAAGAUUUAUCGCCUUGGGAUGAGCCCGCGUUGGAUUAGCUAGUUGGUAGGUAACGGCCUACCAAGGCUUUGAUCCAUAGCUGGUCUGAGAGGACACCAGCCACACUGGGACUGAGACACGGCCCAGACUCCUACGGGAGCAGCAGUGGGGAAUCGUUGGACAAUGGGCGCAAGCCUGAUCCGAGCCAUGCCGCGUGGCGAUGAAGGUCUUCGGAUUGUAAACGUCCCUUUUGGGCGGGACGAGUAAUGACGGUACCCGCGAGAA